GACGAACGCUGGCGGCGUGCCUAACACAUGCAAGUCGAGCGAAGUGCUUUAAGCGGAAUCUUCGGAGGAAGCUUAAAGUAUCUUAGCGGCGGACGGGUGAGUAAUGCGUGAGGAACCUGCCUUUCACAAGGGGAUAGCCUCGGGAAACUGGGAUUAAUACCCUAUGACACCUAAGUAUCGCAUGAUACCUAGGUUAAAGCGCAAAGCGGUGGAAGAUGGCCUCACGUCCCAUUAGCUAGUUGGUGAGGUAAAGGCUCACCAAGGCAACGAUGGGUAGCCGGCCUGAGAGGGUGACCGGCCACACUGGAACUGAGACACGGUCCAGACUCCUACGGGAGGCAGCAGUGGGGAAUAUUGCACAAUGGGCGAAAGCCUGAUGCAGCGACGCCGCGUGAGCGAAGAAGGCCUCGGUCGUAAAGCUCUGUCCUAUGGGACGGAUAAUGACGGUACCGAUAGGAGGAAGCCCCGGCCGUAACUAACGUGCCAGCAGCCGCGGUAAAGAGUAGUAACG
Molecule: ribosomal RNA, 511 nt
Filed under: uncultured bacterium
Lineage: Bacteria
Description: bacterial SSU rRNA
Rfam family: Bacterial small subunit ribosomal RNA
Source: RNAcentral